UGCCUCAGUAACGGCGAGUGAAGCGGCAAAAGCUCAAAUUUGAAACCCUCGGGAUUGUAAUUUGAAGAUUUGGCAUUGGAGAAAGCUAACCCAAGUUACUUGGAAUAGUACGUCAUAGAGGGUGACAACCCCGUCUGGCUAACCGUUCUCCAUGUAUUGCCUUAUCAAAGAGUCGAGUUGUUUGGGAAUGCAGCUCAAAGUGGGUGGUAAACUCCAUCUAAAGCUAAAUACUGGUGAGAGACCGAUAGCGAACAAGUACUGUGAAGGAAAGGUGAAAAGAACUUUGAAAAGAGAGUGAAAUAGUAUGUGAAAUUGUUGAUAGGGAAGGAAAUGAGCGGAGAGUGGUUGAGGUUUCAGCCUUCCUUUGGGGUGGUGUAUUGCCGACGCCGAGUCAUUGUCCGCGAGACGGGRRWUAYAAACGGGUUGCAUUCAUGCUUCUCACCUAUUYCCCCCACUGCAGUCAACGACAUAAUCCGCCCAUUUCACCCGUCUUGAAACACGGACCAAGGAGUCUAAUGGAUAUGUGAGUGUUAGGGUGCCAAACCCCAGCGCGCAAUGAAAGUGAAUGAUUCGUUCAGAAUCGACCGAACUUGAUUUUUAUGACAGUUUUGAGUAAACACAUCCAUUGGGACCCGAAAGAUGGUGAACUAUGCCUGAAUAGGGUGAAGUCAGAGGAAACUCUGAUGGAGGCUCGUAGCGGUUCUGACGUGCAAAUCGAUCGUAGAAUUUGGGUAUAGGGCGAAA
This 744-nucleotide ribosomal RNA is filed under the name Yarrowia sp. RNAcentral describes it as "LSU rRNA". It matches the Rfam family "Eukaryotic large subunit ribosomal RNA", at positions 76 to 928 of the family's 3401-position model. Lineage: Eukaryota; Fungi; Ascomycota; Dipodascomycetes; Dipodascales. The record is from RNAcentral.